Molecule: RNA transcript, 4684 nt
Organism: Bubalus bubalis (water buffalo)
Lineage: Eukaryota; Metazoa; Chordata; Mammalia; Artiodactyla; Bovidae
Gene: LRP8
Gene name: LDL receptor related protein 8
Exons: 22
Source: RefSeq, a predicted model, not a curated record
GGCUGCACAGGGUGCGCGGGGCGCGGCGGCCGGAGCCCGGCGCCCGCCAUGGGCCGCCCCGAGCGGGGCGCGCUCCGGCCGCUGGCGCUGCUGCUGCUGCUGCUGCAGCUCCAGCAUCUCGCGGCGGCGGCAGCGGAUCCACUGCACGGCGGCCAAGGGUCGGUCAAGGAGUGCGAAGAGAACCAGUUCCGGUGCCGGAACGAGCGCUGCAUUCCCUCCGUGUGGAGGUGCGACGAGGACGACGACUGCUCGGAUAACAGUGACGAGGACGACUGCCCCAAGAAGACCUGUGCAGACAGCGACUUCACCUGUAACAACGGCCACUGCAUCCGAGAGCGGUGGAAGUGUGAUGGCGAGGAGGACUGUCCAGACGGCUCUGACGAGUCGGAGGCCACGUGCACCAAGCAGGUGUGUCCUGCAGAGAAGCUGAGCUGCGGACCCACCAGCCACAAGUGUGUGCCGGCCUCGUGGCGCUGUGAUGGGGAGAAGGACUGCGAGAGUGGAGCGGAUGAGGCUGGAUGUGCCACGUUGUGCGCCCCGCACGAGUUCCAGUGCAGCAACCGCUCGUGCCUGGCCGCCGUGUUCGUGUGCGACGGCGACGACGACUGCGGCGACGGCAGCGACGAGCGCGGCUGCGCCGACCCGGCCUGCGGGCCCCGCGAGUUCCGCUGCAGCGGCGACAGCGGCGCCUGCAUCCCGGAGCGCUGGGUCUGUGACCGCCAGUUCGACUGCGAGGACCGCUCGGACGAGGCGGCCGAGCUGUGCGGCCGCGCGGGCCCCCGGGCCACGCCCGCGCCGGCCACCUGUGCCGCCGCCGCCCAGUUCGCCUGCCGCAGCGGCGAGUGCGUGCACCUGGGCUGGCGCUGCGACGGUGACCGCGACUGCAAGGACAAGUCGGACGAGGCCGACUGCCCGCUGGGCACCUGCCGUGGAGACGAGUUCCAGUGUGGGGAUGGGACUUGUGUGCCUGCCAUCAAGCGCUGUAACCAGGAGCAGGACUGUCCAGACGGGAGUGACGAAACUGGCUGCCUGCAGGAGUCAACAUGUGAGGGUCCCCGCAGAUUUCAGUGUAAGAGUGGCGAGUGCGUGGACGGCAGGAAAGUGUGUGAUGCUCAGAGGGACUGCCGGGACUGGUCGGAUGAGCCUCUGAAAGAGUGUGUUCUGCCAACAUCCCAGAGAAACAGGAGGCGGCCCAGGGGCCUGAACGAGUGUCUGCACAACAAUGGCGGCUGUUCCCACAUCUGCACUGACCUUAAGAUUGGCUUUGAGUGCACGUGCCCUGCAGGCUACCAGCUCCUGGACCAGAAGACCUGUGGCGACAUCGAUGAGUGCGAGGACCCAGAUGCCUGCAGCCAGAUCUGUGUCAAUUACAAGGGCUACUUUAAAUGCGAGUGCCACCCUGGCUACGAGAUGGACACACUGACCAAGAACUGCAAGGCCGUUGCUGGCAGAAGCCCAUCCCUGAUCUUCACCAACCGGCACGAAGUGCGGAGGAUAGACCUGGUAAAGCGGGACUACUCACGGCUCAUCCCCAUGCUCAAGAACGUCGUGGCGCUGGACGUUGAAGUUGCCACCAAUCGCAUCUACUGGUGUGACCUCUCCUACCGCAAGAUCUACAGCGCCUACAUGGACAAAGCCAGCAACCCCGUGGAGCAGGAUGUCCUCAUUGACGAGCAGCUGCACUCUCCCGAGGGCCUGGCGGUGGACUGGGUCCACAAGCACAUCUACUGGACCGACUCUGGCAACAAGACCAUCUCCGUGGCCACAGUUGACGGCAAACGCCGAUGUACUCUCUUUAGCCGUAACCUCAGCGAACCCCGGGCCAUUGCCGUCGACCCCCUGCGAGGGUUCAUGUAUUGGUCUGACUGGGGGUUCCAGGCCAAGAUUGAGAAGUCCGGGCUCAACGGUGUGGGCCGGCAGACACUGGUGUCGGAUGGUAUUGAGUGGCCCAACGGAAUCACCCUGGAUUUGCUGAACCAGCGCUUGUACUGGGUAGACUCCAAGCUGCACCAGCUGUCCAGCAUUGACUUCAGUGGAGGCAACAGGAAGAUGCUGAUUUCCUCCCCUGACUUCUUGAGCCACCCUUUUGGGAUAGCUGUGUUUGAGGACAAGGUGUUCUGGACGGACCUGGAGAAUGAGGCCAUUUUCAGUGCAAAUCGGCUCAAUGGCCUGGAAAUCUCCGUCCUAGCUGAGAACCUCAACAACCCACAUGAUAUCGUCAUCUUCCAUGAGCUGAAGCAGCCAAGAGCUGCAGAUGCCUGUGAGCUGAGUGCCCAGCCCAAUGGAGGCUGUGAGUACCUGUGCCUUCCUGCUCCUCAGAUCUCCAGCCACUCCCCCAAGUACACGUGUGCCUGUCCUGACACAAUGUGGCUGGGCCCUGACAUGAAGAGGUGCUACCAAGCACCUCAGUCUACCUCAACUACGACGUUAGCCUCUACCACAGCGAGGACACUAGCCGACACCACCAGAGCCCCUGGGACCACCAUCCACAGCCCCACCUACCAGAACCACAGCACAGAGACACCAAGCCUGGCUGCCGCGGUCCCAAGCUCAGUUAGUGUCCCCAGGGCUCCCAGCAUCAGCCCGUCUACCCCAAGCCCUGCAACCAGCAACCACUCCCAACACUAUGGGAAUGAAGGGGGAAAGAUGGGCUCCACAGUCACAGCUGCUGUCAUUGGGAUCAUCGUGCCCAUGGUGGUCAUAGCCCUGCUGUGCAUGAGUGGCUACCUGAUCUGGAGAAACUGGAAGCGGAAGAAUACCAAAAGCAUGAAUUUCGACAAUCCAGUGUACAGGAAAACAACCGAAGAGGAGGAGGAGGAUGAGCUGCACAUAGGGAGGACUGCUCAGAUUGGCCAUGUCUACCCAGCAGCAAUCAGCAGCUUUGAUCACCCACUGUGGGCAGAGCCCUGUCUUGGGGAGACCAGAGAACUGGAAGACCCAGCCCCUGCCCUCAAGGAGCUUUUUGUCUUGCCGGGGGAACCAAGGUCACAGCCGCACCAACUCCCGAAGAACCCUCUUUCCGAGCUGCCUGUCGUCAAGUGCAAGCCCCAUUUUGCAGAUGAGGAAACUGAGACUCAGAGAAAUUGAAUAACUUACCUAGGAUCACAACCAGGAAGUGGCAGAACCAGGAUUCACACUCUUGUCUCGAGUGGCAUUAAGCCUUGAAGAUGAUGGACUGCCCUGAGGAUGGGACCACUCCCUUCGUGCCUCAUGGAAUUCAGUCCCAUGCACUACCCUCUGGAUGGUGUAUGCCUGGAUGGAAGGGUUUCUGUACUUGAGUCUGUGUGUAUGUGUGUGUGUGAGAGAGAGAGAGUGUGUGUAAUUUUUUAAAUUUAUGUUGCAGAAAGGUAACCACAAAGUUAUGAUGAACUGCAGACAUCCAAAGGAUGUGAGAGUUUUUAUAUGUAUAAUGUUUUAUACAAUUUUUAACUGGUUGCACUACCCAUGAAGAAUUCAUGGAAUAGCUACUGCUGAGUGACUAACAUGAUGUACAUAACCAAAUGGGGCCGAUGGUACAGUAGCUUACUCAUCAUUUAAAAAUUAUAUUUACAGAGGGCUUUUGGUUUGGAGGGUCUAUUUUAGGUUUCAGAGUUAUGUUUUGUUUUUUGUUUUUUUUUGUAAAUAGAAUGAUAAUGCUUUGUGGCUAUCCAUCAACAUAAGUAAAAAGAAAAAAACAGAAGACACGUCAACUCCCUCUCCCAUUUAGGUUAUUUAUUAACAUAUUUCAAAACCAAGAUUAGUUCUGUAAGUAAUUUAGAGACGUGAGAGUAUUUAUUUUUGGUAUGAUUGGCCCACGAUGUGGUCUCUGUGUGCAUUUAUGUUUCUGUGUGUACGCAAGUGAGAGAGGAAAGUCUGUAGAGAAGAGGUGCGCCUAUGGCUGUUGUUCAGUUACAUAAAGAUAAGUAUAUUUUAAAACAACCCACAAGAGAGGUGUGUCUGUAGUUUUCAGAGAAGCCUUUGUAAAUUUGGCUCAGAAAAGAGUUAUCGUGAUUUGUGCAAACAUGCAGUGGAAGAGGUAGAUCUUUCCUGCCUCUGGCUAUUCCUGGGACUCCAGUCAGUCAGAAAAGAGCCCCUCCGCUCAUGAGGGGCUGCCGUAGCUCUCACCUGGGCUUUCUCUUCUGUGGCUAAAGCCAGUGCACAGACUUCUCACAGUACGCAAAGUUCUCGCAAGCUCAGGUGAGAACAUUCCUGAACCUCGGCUACUCCUUGUUUUAAAGUCCAGCAUUUCAAGUAACUUCAUUUUCCUUCAGGACACUUGGAUUGAAUUCAUUGUUUUCUCUGAAGCAUACUGAGGGUGCCAUCCUUACUUAGAAAGAGCUAAGUGGAGAUGUUUUUAGAACCGCCCAAGUUUACUUUAGGGACUGGCUCAGGCACUUACCUCUGAGUAUCCUAUGGGUGAGGAUAAGGACGGAGGAAAAGAUUUUGUUAAUCUCUAUUUCGCCCUUCCCCUUACUCUCUGCCACAUCCUUAAGGUGGGGAAAACAGUUUAAGGUGAUACAUAGGUUUGUUACCAUCAUGUGUCUACAUAGAUGAACUGCUGUUUGGCUUAAGUCAGAAGAAGUGGCCAAACCUAAAGUCCUGUUUGAGGAGGAAAUGGCAUACACAAUAUUAUAGUACAGUGGAUAUAUAUGUUCACACAGGAAUUUGGUUUACUGCUUUGUAAAUAAAAGGAAAACUCUGGGUA